Paramuricea clavata is the source of this 539-nucleotide non-coding RNA. Lineage: Eukaryota; Metazoa; Cnidaria; Anthozoa; Malacalcyonacea; Plexauridae. The record is from the annotation of a GenBank genome assembly.
CGCACAAUGAAGUCACUCCUUUUUACCGCCAUUUUGAGCCUUCGGAAACGUUCGGAACAGCUUUUCAUCAAGUUCGCAAUACUAUUACAGGUAAGGUUGACGCAUGCGCAGACGUUUUUCCGCGGUGUUCCCUGGAUCAGUUGACUGCAUGACAUUUAAAUCGUAUUUUUACCGUUAUCGUAGGGGGAUAAAAUGUUCUUAGGAAUACAUAGUAGAAAGGCGAAAUUAUUUAACAAAUUGGCUUAGAAAGCAUGCUUCUCAGUCUUUGCCUUAAUUCCCUCCUGUUCAAUGCGUUCAACGGUGCCAGUAGCUUAUUUACAUCUGACGGCUGCAUCUCGAACAGCUCAAUAUUGUUGGUCUACCCAUGCAGGACUUUGGGCAAGUCAGGAUAUAAUUUAGAUGUAUGGAUUCUGCAUAAUUAUGUCAGAGCUCUAACCAACUGGGCUACAGAGUCAUGUUGUCGAGCUCUAACCGCAAAUUCAUGUAUACAUACUAAGGUGAUGCCAUGGAAAGGUAUAUGUUUGGUAUGUUAUUAUGCG